UUAGAAAGCACAAGUUUUCCUCUUUCCACUCACUCCACGUUGCCUAAACCGCGGUUUCCUCUUCCCGGCGGCGCUGGGACUGCGGCAGCUGAGGCGCGCUCCGCUCCCGGGAACCUCGGGCCUUGGCGCGCCAUUUUCCGUCGCGCAGUUAGUUGCCGGGGCGUCCUGAGACCUUUUGAUCGGGUCCCUUUCGUCUCUAGGCCCCUCGGCGAUCUCCGAUCAGACUCACCCACCAGAGCACCGCCACAAAGGUCCGGGGAAGAAACCUCUCACCUCCCUGGAGUCUCAGCUCAGCGUUUGGGAAGGAACCGUUUAAAAACCCAGGACAUUCACGAUCUUGGUGCAAAUGUGUUGGCGCUGUGGGACGAGCGUCGUUGGACAACUUUCAAACCACAGCGCCAGGGCAGCCAAGCAUCCUGACGACCGGAAGUGCCUGUGGGGAAGCUGGACUUGCACUUAGAUUGCACUUGGAGACCUCCAGCCUCCUCUAACCCAGGCCUCUUAAGGAAUGUGAAUCAAUAAGUGGCAUAAAUUAUUCACCUCAAGGAACAUUCUCAGAAAUGAACGUCAGACUGGAGAAAUCGCCAGCAGGGUAUUCGCUCUUUUCAGUGUUUGGCUCUCGGCUCACCUUCUGAAUGGCUGGGCCUGUCUAAGCUAUGAAACAUUCAGAUUUCAGAGAAGAAUGAUGACUCUAAGUUGUGCUGAGAUUUCAAGGCAACUCUGAGUUUCCUUUUCAGCCUCUUCCGCAGGGUCAGGGAAAGAGCGUGUGGGCACAGUGUCAUUGUGGGCAAUGCCAUAGGACCCCUCUGUGCCGUGAUCUCAGGGUCUGGAAAGGACCUGUCCUCUGUUCAAACAGGCCUUUUCUCCUUGCUGGCUGAGAUAUCAGAAAUUCAACCCCUCUCUUAAAACCAUUCCAAGGGCUUUGCCUCUUUGGAAGGCUCCUUUCAAACUGCAAAGCCUCAGGAGGGGAGGAGAGGAAAAUUAAAAUGUAUUGAACACCUUCUGGGAUUUUUUUUCAUUGUCACUCAUCCUCCCCCACAAAAUAGAUAUGCUUUGCAAACUUGCUUUGUUAGUUUUUUCUUUUAAAUUGUUGGAAGUUCCUUUCCAUAUGCUGCAGGUGUGGCCCUAAGAAAACAUAACAAAUAAACAAACAAAAAAGACACA
This 1164-nucleotide long non-coding RNA is filed under the name Sus scrofa (pig). Its description in RNAcentral is "lncRNA (ENSSSCG00035079995.1, ENSSSCG00070004901.1)". Lineage: Eukaryota; Metazoa; Chordata; Mammalia; Artiodactyla; Suidae. The record is from RNAcentral.